RNAcentral lists this long non-coding RNA (855 nucleotides) under Triticum aestivum (bread wheat). Its description in RNAcentral is "long non-coding RNA (TAES_LNC018358)". Lineage: Eukaryota; Viridiplantae; Streptophyta; Magnoliopsida; Poales; Poaceae. The record is from RNAcentral.
GAUGAACUGAAGAGGAGGGGCGAGCUUGCGGGCGCAGAGGCCUCAAAUACAGGAUAAUUGCUCAAUGGUCUGGUCAUGCAGUAAAUAGUCGCGGUUUCAACUUUCAACAGUCAAACGAAACAGCCAAGCUAGUUGAAUGGACAUUUAUUCCGGUGGUGAUCGUCAACCACGUAGCACCCACAGAAGGGCUGAGCCGGUCUGAGUUUGCAUGGUGGAGAGGAGAGGAGUGAGCGAGAAGGUGUGGACAUGAGCUUUACGCAUCUGGUUACCGGCUCACGUCAAAGGUAUUUGCCAUAACAACUGUUGCUAUUAAGUUGCUAUUUGUUUUCAAGCUGGCUGGUAUAAUUUCUCACAUCACAUCAGCUUCUCACCACAUUCUCUUUUGCAAGGCAACGUGUUAUUGCUGCGAGAUGGACUCAGAUGAGAAAACUGCCGUUUGGUUAUACAAAAAAGUGUUAGGUUCCCCUCAGCGUAACACUUUGCUCUAACAGGUUAUACGUGCUAACCUCUUUUGAUACUUUGUUUUGUAAGCAAGAGGGGACAGCAGGCCAUCACGUAUUUUAGUAUAGCUAUAUGUACCAAACAAUCUUGUACCUGUUAUCACUUUCUCAGGGUCUCGAAGUUCCAAAGGAUUUUUAUAAUCCUCGGGACUUUUUUUCUCCUACAUCACCUCUUUGAAUUUGGUUUGUAGGAUUGCAAUAUAUGGAAUUUUGUUUGUAAGGAUUGAUUCACAGUAUUUUACGUUUACUUAAGUUAUUAACUUCUGAGGAAGAUUUGUGUAUUUUCUCUUUUAGCAAUCAAACAACCUUUGUAUAUGAUUUAAGUUGGCACGAACAUUAAGAAGAGACUUUCCUU